This 400-nucleotide ribosomal RNA is filed under the name uncultured bacterium. Its description in RNAcentral is "bacterial SSU rRNA". It matches the Rfam family "Bacterial small subunit ribosomal RNA", at positions 30 to 416 of the family's 1533-position model. The record is from RNAcentral.
AGUGAACGCUGGCGGCAGGCCUAACACAUGCAAGUCGAGCGGCAGCGCGUCCGACCACCCUCGGGUGGUCGGAUGGCGGCGAGCGGCGGACGGGUGAGGAAUGCAUCGGAAUCUGCCUCGUUGUGGGGGAUAACGUAGGGAAACUUACGCUAAUACCGCAUACGACCUACGGGUGAAAGUGGGGGACCUUCGGGCCUCACGCGAUGAGAUGAGCCGAUGCCGGAUUAGCUAGUUGGCGGGGUAAAGGCCCACCAAGGCGACGAUCCGUAGCUGGUCUGAGAGGAUGAUCAGCCACACUGGAACUGAGUCACGGUCCAGACUCCUACGGGAGGCAGCAGUGGGGAAUAUUGGACAAUGGGGGCAACCCUGAUCCAGCCAUGCCGCGUGUGUGAAGAAGGCC